GUUAAAAGCUAUUCAGAGAGACUGGGCAUUAUUAUCCUUAAAACGAUCGAAGUGGUUUUGUUUGGUAUUGGAUCUGAGGUGUUUGGAUUUUGAUCUCAGCUUUUCCCCCCCUCUUCCUUCACGACAAUGGAGGACAAACUAAGAGCAUUUGUGCUGCUAAAGAUACAUUGGCUCUGUAUACUCUUCAUCUACGGACAGUCUAGUGUAAAUUGCGGAAAAGGAACCAAAGAUUCUCUGACUGACACCAGCCAUCAUCCUCAGGACAAUCAGAGUGAUCAGAUGCAGAGAGCUGUGGUACUGGAGCAUCGAAGAGUUCCUCGAGAUGUAAAUGAUAGACUACAGAAGCUAGAGAUAAGGGUGGGGGAGAUGGCUCGCGUGCUGGAUAUGGUCAGAGCUCAGACUGACAAACUGUUGAUGCUGGAGAAUAGGAUGGAUGAGCUGGCACGUAAGCUGAAUGUGGCCACUAGAAAUGAUAGCCUGCAACAUCUGGAGGAUAUAUCAAGAGAGCUGGAUCGCAUGCAGAAAACAAUCAACACUCAGACUGACAACCUGUUGAGGCUGGAGAAUAGGAUGGACGAGCUGGCACGUACACUGAACAUGGCCAUUAAAAAUGAUAGCCUGCAACAUCUGGAGCAUAUAUCAAGAGAGCUGGAUCGUAUGCAGAAAACCGUCAAAGCUCAGACUGACAAACUGUUGAGGCUGGAGAAUAGGAUGGACGAGCUGGCACGUA
This is a long non-coding RNA of Oreochromis aureus, 730 nucleotides long. Lineage: Eukaryota; Metazoa; Chordata; Actinopteri; Cichliformes; Cichlidae. The record is from Ensembl.